Molecule: long non-coding RNA, 570 nt
Filed under: Equus caballus (horse)
Lineage: Eukaryota; Metazoa; Chordata; Mammalia; Perissodactyla; Equidae
Description: lncRNA (ENSECAG00000059127.1)
Source: RNAcentral
CCGCCCCGCCCGGCCGCCCCGCCCCGCGCCACCGCCCCCUACCCCCAGGCCGAGCCCCAGGGAGGGACCGCAAAGGGAGGGAGGUGGGAGGGAGGGGGCCGCGAGAGGGGCCGGCCGACCCAGACCGAGGGAGACCCAGCGGAGCGCACGCCCAGGAAGGAGAGAGCCGGAGAGCUCGGGAGACGAGACCCCCAGAGAUGGGAGCGGAGGGAUCCAGAGAAAGGAGAUGCUGGCACUUGGCUCCCGGGAAACUGUGAGGACUGAGUGGGGGGUCUUGCCCCCCCAAGCACCACAGAGUCUGUUGGGGAGAAGCCCACAGUUCAUCCAGGGACGAAGAGAAUGUCUUACCAGAGGCUCCGGCAGGACCCAGGCCCUAAGAGUGACUUUGGUGGGCUCCCCUCUAAACCUCCCAGCAGUCAUCAGACCUGAAAGGUGGCCGCCAGGCGAAAAAACUGCACACAGACAGCGGCGGGGCUUCCUCUGCCCGGGGAAUGCGGUGUCCUUGGCCGGCAGAGAGUCCCCAGAGAGCGGGUCCCACCUCCCCGCCGGGAACGGAGGCCUAGAGAGGAG